GUCCCUGUAGUGCAAUGGAUAGCACGUUGGACUUCUAAUACAAAAGUCGUGGGUUUUGAAUCCCACCUGGGAUG
Non-coding RNA from Trichonephila inaurata madagascariensis, 74 nucleotides. NCBI's taxonomy places the organism in Eukaryota, Metazoa, Arthropoda, Arachnida, Araneae, Nephilidae. The record is from the annotation of a GenBank genome assembly.